CAAUAUGAAGGUCAGGCUGAAGACCUUACCCGAUUAGCUGAGAGGUGGUGCAUGGCCGUCGUCAGUUCGUACUGUGAAGCAUCCUGUUAAGUCAGGCAACGAGCGAGACCCACGUCCACAGUUGCCAGCAUACCCUCCGGGGUGAUGGGUACACUGUGGAGACCGCCGCUGCUAAAGCGGAGGAAGGAGUGGGCAACGGUAGGUCAGUAUGCCCCGAAUCUCCCGGGCUACACGCGGGCUACAAUGGUUGGUACAAUGGGCAUCUACCCCGAAAGGGGAAGGAAAUCUCUUAAAGCCAAUCGUAGUUCGGAUUGAGGGCUGCAACUCGCCCUCAUGGAGCUGGAAUCCGUAGUAAUCGCGUUUCAACAGAACGCGGUGAAUACGUCCCUGCUCCUU
RNAcentral lists this ribosomal RNA (396 nucleotides) under uncultured Methanosaeta sp. RNAcentral's name for it is "bacterial SSU rRNA". It matches the Rfam family "Archaeal small subunit ribosomal RNA", at positions 943 to 1338 of the family's 1478-position model. Lineage: Archaea; Methanobacteriati; Methanobacteriota; Methanomicrobia; Methanotrichales; Methanotrichaceae. The record is from RNAcentral.